This 190-nucleotide transfer RNA is filed under the name Coriobacteriales bacterium. RNAcentral describes it as "tRNA-Leu". It matches the Rfam family "tRNA". From Rfam's summary of the family: Transfer RNA (tRNA) molecules are approximately 80 nucleotides in length. The record is from RNAcentral. Lineage: Bacteria; Bacillati; Actinomycetota; Coriobacteriia; Coriobacteriales.
GCGCCCGUAGCUCAGUGGUUAGAGCGCCUUAGUCAUCCAGUGCGUUUGACAGCCACGGGCGGAGCAUCCCUUUGUGGGUGCUCCGUUUUUUACGUCAUGCGUUGCGCUAUCAUAGAGCUGGCAGUCGUUUGUGCUGGCUACUUUUCGUUCAGGGGGACCGAAGGUGCGGGUUCAAAUCCCGCCAGGCGCU